GAUGAACGCUGGCGGCGUGCCUAAUACAUGCAAGUCGAGCGAACAGACGAGGAGCUUGCUCCUCUGACGUUAGCGGCGGACGGGUGAGUAACACGUGGAUAACCUACCUAUAAGACUGGGAUAACUUCGGGAAACCGGAGCUAAUACCGGAUAAUAUAUUGAACCGCAUGGUUCAAUAGUGAAAGACGGUUUUGCUGUCACUUAUAGAUGGAUCCGCGCCGCAUUAGCUAGUUGGUAAGGUAACGGCUUACCAAGGCAACGAUGCGUAGCCGACCUGAGAGGGUGAUCGGCCACACUGCAACUGAGACACGGUCCAGACUCCUACGGAAGGCAGCAGUAGGGAAUCUUCCGCAAUGGCCGCAAGCCUGACGGAGCAACACCGCGUGAGUGAUGAAGGUCUUCGGAUCGUAAAACUCUGUUAUUAGGGAAGAACAAAUGUGUAAGUAACUAUGCACGUCUUGACGGUACCUAAUCAGAAAGCCACGGCUAACUACGUG
RNAcentral lists this ribosomal RNA (497 nucleotides) under uncultured bacterium. Its description in RNAcentral is "partial 16S ribosomal RNA". It matches the Rfam family "Bacterial small subunit ribosomal RNA", at positions 28 to 507 of the family's 1533-position model. The record is from RNAcentral.